AGAAUAUCAAUUUGUACCUCUCAAUCCCAGUGAAGGUGUUGAGAGGAUCAGUAAAAGUUAUAUCGUCCCUGUAAAUGUCGUAAUUGAGGUCUCUGGCGAAAAUUAGAGGAAGGUCCUCGCGAAGAGUUCUGACAGCGAGGCCGAGAUUGACAUAGAAGUCGUCUCUUGGCUUAUCGGAGCGGGAAUCGGAGGAACCAGGAGGAGAGGCGAGGUGAGAACCCUGAAGCUGAGGCGAAUGAACACUGGUUAGAGAGAGAGAAGAAGAGGAAGAAGAAGAAG
RNAcentral lists this unclassified non-coding RNA (279 nucleotides) under Hevea brasiliensis (rubber tree). Lineage: Eukaryota; Viridiplantae; Streptophyta; Magnoliopsida; Malpighiales; Euphorbiaceae. The record is from RNAcentral.